Molecule: ribosomal RNA, 482 nt
Filed under: uncultured bacterium
Lineage: Bacteria
Description: partial 16S ribosomal RNA
Rfam family: Bacterial small subunit ribosomal RNA
Source: RNAcentral
AUUGAACGCUGGCGGAAUGCUUUACACAUGCAAGUCGAACGGCAGCACGGGGGCAGCCCUGGUGGCGAGUGGCGAACGGGUGAGUAAUACAUCGGAACGUGCCCGGUCGUGGGGGAUAACGUAGCGAAAGUUACGCUAAUACCGCAUACGAUCUGAGGAUGAAAGCGGGGGACCUUCGGGCCUCGCGCGAUCGGAGCGGCCGAUGUCAGAUUAGGUAGUUGGUGGGGUAAAGGCCUACCAAGCCGACGAUCUGUAGCUGGUCUGAGAGGACGACCAGCCACACUGGGACUGAGACACGGCCCAGACUCCUACGGGAGGCAGCAGUGGGGAAUUUUGGACAAUGGGCGCAAGCCUGAUCCAGCCAGUCUGCGUGCAGGACGAAGGCCUUCGGGUUGUAAACUGCUUUUGUACGGAACGAAAAGGCUCUGGCUAAUACCUGGGGCUCAUGACGGUACCGUAAGAAUAAGCACCGGCUAACUACG